UGGCAGGGUUCUGGCUUGACUGGGGGCGUGAGUCUCAUUAGACUCAUGCACCCCUAAAUUUGGCAGGGCACGUGCUCUGCCAUUUUGCUUUUCAAUAGGGCAAUAGCGUCGAAAGACAACAGUGGAGCUUAUAGA
RNAcentral lists this small RNA (135 nucleotides) under Pseudomonas cuatrocienegasensis. Its description in RNAcentral is "Pseudomonas rpsL leader". It matches the Rfam family "Pseudomonas rpsL leader". The record is from RNAcentral. Lineage: Bacteria; Pseudomonadati; Pseudomonadota; Gammaproteobacteria; Pseudomonadales; Pseudomonadaceae.